Molecule: non-coding RNA, 148 nt
Filed under: Nomascus leucogenys (northern white-cheeked gibbon)
Lineage: Eukaryota; Metazoa; Chordata; Mammalia; Primates; Hylobatidae
Source: Rfam by way of RNAcentral
GCCAGGCAUGGUGGCGCAUGCCUGUAAUCCCAGCUACUUGGGAGGCUGAGGCAGGAGAAUCGCUUGAACCUGGGAGGCAGAAGUUGCAGUGAGCGGAGAUCGUGCCACUGCACUCAAGCCUGGGUGACAGAACGAGACUCUGUCUCAA